CUCGUAGGCGGUUCGUCGCGUCCGGUGUGAAAGUCCAUCGCUUAACGGUGGAUCUGCGCCGGGUACGGGCGGGCUGGAGUGCGGUAGGGGAGACUGGAAUUCCCGGUGUAACGGUGGAAUGUGUAGAUAUCGGGAAGAACACCAAUGGCGAAGGCAGGUCUCUGGGCCGUUACUGACGCUGGGGAGCGAAAGCGUGGGGAGCGAACA
This 207-nucleotide ribosomal RNA is filed under the name uncultured bacterium. Its description in RNAcentral is "partial 16S ribosomal RNA". It matches the Rfam family "Bacterial small subunit ribosomal RNA", at positions 568 to 774 of the family's 1533-position model. The record is from RNAcentral.